GGAGCCAUUCAGACCAGUCCACCUGUCCAGCUGGAGAUUGAGUCUAUAAGAGAAGACACCUGUGAAAGGAUGCCUUGUUUCCAGAUGUAAACAGAGGAUAUCCCAUGAUCCUUGUUCUUCUUUUAUCUGUCCAUUGGAUCUACUUUAGCACAUGUCCCCAGGCUAGCUAUAGAACUUGAUCCUGCCAUUCAUCUUUGUGUAUAGUCCCCUCCCCUGAGAAUUCCUAGUAGAUUAUUCUGAGUCAGGUCCCUUUUAAGGUUGGUAAAUACUUCAACUCAAGAACUAAGAAAGCCAGAAAAGGAAAGGACUAGCCUCACAUCUAUCUAGACUGGGAAAAUUUGAAAUCAGUUUUAUGAGAAUUAAUAUAACUUAAUUAUCUGCUCUUUUGGAGAUUUACAAUUGUCCAAAAAGUUUUUCUACGUUAAUAAGUAAAUUAGUCUAUGUAAAAUUACAGAAUGUAUUUUCUUUAACUUAACAUUAACUAAAGAAAGACUAUUAGAGCUUGGUAUUUUUUAUUUGAAAAUUUUUAUUUAAUUAAUUGAUUUAGAAUAUUUUCCAUGGUUACAUGAUUCAUGUUCUUUCCCUCCCCUCCUCCCACUUGGUAUUUCUUUAAAUCUUGUAGUUGUUUGUGUUUAACCUAAAUGUGAUUGAAAAUAUUCGCCAUUUGAGAUUAAAUUUUGUAGAUUGUAAUUGGAACCAAAUGGUUUACGAUGGCAAUAGCCCUGUGAGGUAGUAAAUUGCAGAUGGACUUCUGUCUAAAGGGAGUGAUUUGGCUUGCCCGGAUUUAAGAUUCUCCCAGAUGGCUCCCUUUCAUAUGAAAUUUCAGUUUUCCACCUGGUAUAUUCCAUACAUAGCUGUGCAUUAUUGCCAAUCUCCAUUUGGCAUUGAUAUAUCAAGAUAGGAAGGCACUUCCCCCUUAUUUUAUCUAUAUCCCUCUUUUCUCUUUUAAUGGCAAGGUGAUAAGUAAAUGCUGAAACACAUAGGAACUAAAGAUGCAGGAAUAUCCACUAUGGUACUCGGGAUUUUGGACUCCAUUAGAAGAAUUUGGGCAGCCAAAUAUAGCCUCCCAUAUGUGUGCCUCUUGCCCAACCUGCCAGGAGAGCUACAGAGAACUCCGAAGAAGCCAUCAAUUAGUCCUGAUAAGCCAGUGAUCCCAGACAUGUCAACGGCUCUUGUAGGAGUAAUAAAUGUCAGUGCCAAAGUGAGGGAGAUGUCUCAGGAGAGAGUUGGAAGAGCCAACUGUUCAACAAAGUAUUGAGGCAAUGAGGGUGACUUGCCCAGCAUUACACAGCUGGGAAGUGUCUGAGGCAAGAUUUGAACCUGGGACCUCCUGUCUGUAGGCCUGGCUCUCAGUCCACUGAGAUACCCAGCUGCCCCCUGGGUGACUUAUUUAAUACAUUCUUAAAUUAGGAAACAGGGUCAUGUGAUUAUACAUCUUUUCACUCUCCAACCUGCUUUCACUACCUAAUAAAUAAUUAUAAAUUAAUAUGCA
RNAcentral lists this long non-coding RNA (1492 nucleotides) under Monodelphis domestica (gray short-tailed opossum). RNAcentral describes it as "lncRNA (ENSMODG00000049923.1)". The record is from RNAcentral. Lineage: Eukaryota; Metazoa; Chordata; Mammalia; Didelphimorphia; Didelphidae.